Long non-coding RNA from Oreochromis niloticus (Nile tilapia), 444 nucleotides. RefSeq lists it as uncharacterized. The transcript is spliced from 3 exons. NCBI's taxonomy places the organism in Eukaryota, Metazoa, Chordata, Actinopteri, Cichliformes, Cichlidae. The record is from RefSeq and is a predicted model, not a curated record.
GUCCGUUCGUUGCUCACGCAAGAAAGCGAAUGAAGAAAAUGAAGGUUUUGAGAAGUAUUAAAGUAACUUGGCUUCAUCCGGGUGUCCUCCUAUUUAUUUUAAUUUAUUUUUUUGUUGUAUUGCAAGAGCAACGAAAGCCAUAGAAUGCAUGGAGGCAGAAAUGAAGGAAUAACAAUUUGUUACUGCAAAGUCGAAGCCGAGGGAAAAUGUAACUGUGUCUUACACCAGUCCAAAUAUCAGCUGCACAUGGUAGCACAUAGAAAUCAGACAGUGCAGAAGUGAAAAACCACGUAGAGGGAUUAGAAACCUCACUCUGGCUGUUUUCGUACACCACUGAGUCGGCCUCAAAUCACUUGAAGCUAUUAAAGUCAAAAUGAACAACUUUGGUUCGACUUAAAAUAAUCUGUAACCUGGUUGUAUUAAAAUGUUAUGUUUAUUAAUGCA